GGGUUGUGAGGUUAAGCGACUAAGCGUACACGGUGGAUGCCCUGGCAGUCAGAGGCGAUGAAGGACGUGCUAAUCUGCGAUAAGCGUCGGUAAGGUGAUAUGAACCGUUAUAACCGGCGAUUUCCGAAUGGGGAAACCCAGUGUGUUUCGACACACUAUCAUUAACUGAAUCCAUAGGUUAAUGAGGCGAACCGGGGGAACUGAAACAUCUAAGUACCCCGAGGAAAAGAAAUCAACCGAGAUUCCCCCAGUAGCGGCGAGCGAACGGGGAGCAGCCCAGAGCCUGAAUCAGUGUGUGUGUUAGUGGAAGCGUCUGGAAAGGCGCGCGAUACAGGGUGACAGCCCCGUACACAAAAAUGCACAUGCUGUGAGCUCGAUGAGUAGGGCGGGACACGUGGUAUCCUGUCUGAAUAUGGGGGGACCAUCCUCCAAGGCUAAAUACUCCUGACUGACCGAUAGUGAACCAGUACCGUGAGGGAAAGGCGAAAAGAACCCCGGCGAGGGGAGUGAAAAAGAACCUGAAACCGUGUACGUACAAGCAGUGGGAGCACAGAGCAAUCUGUGUGACUGCGUACCUUUUGUAUAAUGGGUCAGCGACUUAUAUUCUGUAGCAAGGUUAACCGAAUAGGGGAGCCGAAGGGAAACCGAGUCUUAACUGGGCGUUAAGUUGCAGGGUAUAGACCCGAAACCCGGUGAUCUAGCCAUGGGCAGGUUGAAGGUUGGGUAACACUAACUGGAGGACCGAACCGACUAAUGUUGAAAAAUUAGCGGAUGACUUGUGGCUGGGGGUGAAAGGCCAAUCAAACCGGGAGAUAGCUGGUUCUCCCCGAAAGCUAUUUAGGUAGCGCCUCGUGAAUUCAUCUCCGGGGGUAGAGCACUGUUUCGGCAAGGGGGUCAUCCCGACUUACCAACCCGAUGCAAACUGCGAAUACCGGAGAAUGUUAUCACGGGAGACACACGGCGGGUGCUAACGUCCGUCGUGAAGAGGGAAACAACCCAGACCGCCAGCUAAGGUCCCAAAGUCAUGGUUAAGUGGGAAACGAUGUGGGAAGGCCCAGACAGCCAGGAUGUUGGCUUAGAAGCAGCCAUCAUUUAAAGAAAGCGUAAUAGCUCACUGGUCGAGUCGGCCUGCGCGGAAGAUGUAACGGGGCUAAACCAUGCAC
RNAcentral lists this ribosomal RNA (1163 nucleotides) under Escherichia coli. RNAcentral describes it as "partial 23S ribosomal RNA". It matches the Rfam family "Bacterial large subunit ribosomal RNA", at positions 1 to 1194 of the family's 2925-position model. Lineage: Bacteria; Pseudomonadati; Pseudomonadota; Gammaproteobacteria; Enterobacterales; Enterobacteriaceae. The record is from RNAcentral.